Molecule: non-coding RNA, 68 nt
Organism: Podarcis lilfordi (Lilford's wall lizard)
Lineage: Eukaryota; Metazoa; Chordata; Lepidosauria; Squamata; Lacertidae
Source: the annotation of a GenBank genome assembly
GACAGCUCCGUCAGUAGAGCAUGAGACUCUUAAUCUCAGGGUUGUGGGUUUGAGCCCCAUGUUAGGCA